GGCGAAAAGAUCGGAUUUGAGUCACUUCAGCCUGCAGUGGCAGUGAGAAAAGGAAGAGGAAAAAGGAUGGUGCUGAUUUAGAACGCGAGAUAACGGCUGCAGUUAAAGGCUUCCCUGAUUGCAUUUCCUCUCCAACAGACAUGCUCAUACCUGUCAACCCUCCCGUUUUUCCCGGGAAAUCCCUUAUUUUGACUUAUUUCCCGCUGUCUUCCCGUUUUUUAUUUUCCCGAAAAUAUCCCGUAUUUUCACAAUAUAAAAAAGUCGGUAGGUCCAGAAUUCAUGACGCGCCUCUGACAGGAGUUUACAGCAGGAAGUCGCGCCAUGAAUUCCCGUCCCCCGGAGGCGAGGCUGAACAAGUGAUUAGGUGUCUGAGGUGAAGAUGGCGAUGCUAAUAGCUAAGAAAAACAUUAGCCUCUCUUUCUUUGAUGAUUUCAACAAGUGCGUGGCUGGAAUGUUCCCAGACUCUUCCAUCGCAAAGAAAUUUUCCAUGGGGAAAACGAAAGCCUCCCAAAUAAUCAAAGGUCCACCAUGUGUCAGGAGAGACUGUCAGAUCUGGCAGUAAUAUCCAUUGAGCAAGCCGUGAGAAGGAAACUGGACAUGGAAGAUGUCAUCACUGCAUUUGCCAAUGCUAAAGCAAGAAAAAUCAAGUUUUAAGCACACAGUCUCAUCCACUGUAGCCACCACCACCCAUGAGACUGAUAGAUGGGCACACCGACAGCAGCGCACAUAGACAGACAGGCAGACACACACUCUCCUCUACUGACUGACACACACACACACACACACACACACACACACACACACACACACACACACACACACACACAGCUUAUAUUCAGAUAUUCAGUGAUCUUUAUUGGGUUUUUUUCAAUCAUUUCCAUGUGUUCACAAUAAAUAUUGUUUGUCAGUACGUAUGAUUCAUCAUCUCAUCUCAUCUCAUUAUCUCUAGCCGCUUUAUCCUUCUACAGGGUCGCAGGCAAGCUGGAGCCUAUCCCAGCUGACUACGGGCGAAAGGCGGGGUACACCCUGGACAAGUCACCAGGUCAUCACAGGGCUGACGCACAGACACAGACAACCAUUCACACUCACAUUCACACCUACGGUUAGAGUCAACAGUUAACCUAACCUGCAUGUCUUUGGACUGUGGGGGAAACCGGAGCAUGAUUCAUCAUCUCAUUAUUAUUACAGAUGUAUGGGUUGGGGUCAUGGCCGUAACUACCAUUGAGGACACCGAGGUCAUGUCCUCGGUAUUUUUUUCAGAAAUUUAAAAUUGGUCUAUGCUGAAUUCGAGCAGUGAUCAAUGUAAAACGCAGCGUCCACAUCCACAUGUCAUCUGUAUUUCCCCCCAAUAAAAUUCACAUUUGUCUAAUGUCAUCUGAAAUCUCUCAGCCUCUAUCUCUAUUGUUGCCGUGUCUAACGCAGCGUCACGCGACGUAGCCUAUACUAGUGUCGGCCGGGGAAGUUGGGUUUUGGUAAAACAGGCAGGGUGUAGUCUACGCUCUAUCACACAUGCCUACCUAACCUAACAUAGGCUAAUAGUCACAUAGCAUUAUAGAGCUUUACCUGAGUGCAAAAUGAAAACGUUGCAACAAACUAAAUUAAGGUUUGGACAGCCAACAGAAGAGCAGAGAAAGAGAAGGAGGGAAGGUGAGAAAAUAUUGUCAGUGCAGUGGCAGAUCGUUCAGCGGUGUCAUGCCAACUUUCCAAGGGGAAAUGUUUCAUUGUCAUUGCCUAUUACAUUUUAGUUAGCAUUUCGAGAAACAUUCAAAACUACGUUGUCACAGGCAGCCCUGUGCAGGGCUGACUAAACGGACUUGUUUGAGUAACUCUCUCUCUCUCAUACUCUCUCUCUUUCUCUCUCACACACACACACUCUCUCUAAUACAUAGUCUUCACACAGAACUAAUAGCCCUACAUUCUAAUGUAAUUUAAGAUAAUGAAAUGUAAAUAAUGCCAAUACUUCAGGUAGCUGAGCAAUACACUUAGUUCAGUUUUGACUUUUAUGUCAGACAAAACGAGGGUUAUGUAUAUAACCGCGGUUCUAUGAGUUUCGGAUGACCGCCAGAGGCGGUGCUUUCAGCACAUGGAUAUCCAUCACACGAACGUGCAGGUCGA
Long non-coding RNA from Neoarius graeffei (lesser salmon catfish), 2115 nucleotides. RefSeq lists it as uncharacterized. The transcript is spliced from 3 exons. Lineage: Eukaryota; Metazoa; Chordata; Actinopteri; Siluriformes; Ariidae. The record is from RefSeq and is a predicted model, not a curated record.